RNAcentral lists this ribosomal RNA (429 nucleotides) under Acidobacteriota bacterium. RNAcentral describes it as "Acidobacteria bacterium partial 16S ribosomal RNA". It matches the Rfam family "Bacterial small subunit ribosomal RNA", at positions 355 to 776 of the family's 1533-position model. The record is from RNAcentral. Lineage: Bacteria; Pseudomonadati; Acidobacteriota.
UGGGGAAUUUUGGACAAUGGGCGCAAGCCUGAUCCAGCAAUGCCGCGUGUGUGAAGAAGGCCUUCUGGUUGUAAAGCACUUUUGUCCGGAAAGAAAACCUCGUGGUUAAUACCCGUGGGGGAUGACGGUACCGGAAGAAUAAGCACCGGCUAACUACGUGCCAGCAGCCGCGGUAAUACGUAGGGUGCAAGCGUUAAUCGGAAUUACUGGGCGUAAAGCGUGCGCAGGCGGUUCGCUAAGACAGAUGUGAAAUCCCCGGGCUUAACCUGAGAACUGCAUUUGUGACUGGCGGGCUAGAGUAUGGCAGAGGGGGGUAGAGUUCCACGUGUAGCAGUGAAAUGCGUAGAGAUGUGGAGGAAUACCGAUGGCGAAGGCAGCCACCUGGGCCAAUACUGACGCUCAUGCACGAAAGCGUGGGGAGCAAACAGG